This 411-nucleotide ribosomal RNA is filed under the name uncultured bacterium. RNAcentral describes it as "bacterial SSU rRNA". It matches the Rfam family "Bacterial small subunit ribosomal RNA", at positions 505 to 916 of the family's 1533-position model. The record is from RNAcentral.
GUUCCCUGAGAAGCGGUAAGACGUAUGGGGCAAGCGUUACCCGGAAUUACUGGGCGUAAAGGGGGCGUAGGCGGUAAAAGAAGUCAUCUGUGAAAACCUAUUGCUCAACGAUAGGCUAGCGGAUGAAACUGAAUUACUUGAGGGCACCAGAGGUAGACGGAAUUACCCGAGUAGGGGUGAAAUCCGCAGAUACGGGUAGGAACGCCGGUGGAGAAGUCGGUCUACUGGGUGCACCAGACGCUGAGGCCCGAAAGCUAGGGGAGCAAACCGGAUUAGAUACCCGGGUAGUCCUAGCCGUAAACGAUGCUCACUAGGUGUAGGGAGUGAUAAACUCUCUGUGCUGAAGCGAACGCGCUAAGUGAGCCGCCUGGGGAGUACGUCCGCAAGGAUGAAACUUAAAUAAAUUGACGG